AAGAGAGUCAAGAUGUAAUGCCAUGGGGGUAGGAAGCCCGGAACCAUUCUCCGGACACCCAGAGAAGUCAGACAGCAUUAUAACUCAGAGAUUAUUAAAGUGAGGAAUUCUCAAGGGUGAGAGUGCUCAGUGGCUAAAGCAACAUGAUGCCAAGCUAAGAAUUUCAGGCAGUAUGGUAGUUUGGAUGAGAACGGUUCCCAUUGAUUCAAGUGUUGGAAUAUCUGACCCCUAGUUGGUGGAACUGCAAGGGAAGGAUUAAGAGGUGUGGCCUUGUUGGAAGAGGUGUGCCACUUGUGGAUGGGCUUUGAGAUUUUCAAAGAUUGCCACCAUUCUCAGUGUGAAUCUCUGCUUCCUACAUGCAGUUCAAGACGUUCAUUCCCCAUGGCUAACCCUCUGAAACUGUAAGACAAUUACAUGCUUUCUUUUUUUAAAUUGCUCUGGUGGCUAUUCUUGGUUGCCAACUUGACUAUAUCUGAGCGGCU
Mesocricetus auratus (golden hamster) is the source of this 482-nucleotide long non-coding RNA. RefSeq lists it as uncharacterized. The record is from RefSeq and is a predicted model, not a curated record. Lineage: Eukaryota; Metazoa; Chordata; Mammalia; Rodentia; Cricetidae. The transcript has 3 exons.